AUACGGAGGGUGCAAGCGUUAAUCGGAAUUACUGGGCGUAAAGCGCGCGUAGGCGGUUUGAUAAGUCGGAUGUGAAAUCCCCGGGCUCAACCGGGGAAUUGCAUUCGAUACUGUCAGGCUAGAGUGUGGUAGAGGGAAGUGGAAUUUCCGGUGUAGCGGUGAAAUGCGUAGAUAUCGGAAGGAACACCAGUGGCGAAGGUGGCUUCCUGGACCAACACUGACGCUGAGGUGCGAAAGCGUGGGGAGCAAACAGGAUUAGAAACCCUAGUAGUCC
This 274-nucleotide ribosomal RNA is filed under the name uncultured bacterium. RNAcentral's name for it is "partial 16S ribosomal RNA". It matches the Rfam family "Bacterial small subunit ribosomal RNA", at positions 523 to 796 of the family's 1533-position model. The record is from RNAcentral.